RNAcentral lists this ribosomal RNA (891 nucleotides) under Ganoderma resinaceum. RNAcentral's name for it is "partial large subunit ribosomal RNA". It matches the Rfam family "Eukaryotic large subunit ribosomal RNA", at positions 63 to 941 of the family's 3401-position model. The record is from RNAcentral. Lineage: Eukaryota; Fungi; Basidiomycota; Agaricomycetes; Polyporales; Polyporaceae.
AACUAACAAGGAUUCCCCUAGUAACUGCGAGUGAAGCGGGAAAAGCUCAAAUUUAAAAUCUGGCGGUCUUUGGCCGUCCGAGUUGUAGUCUGGAGAAGUGCUUUCCGCGCUGGACCGUGUAUAAGUCUCUUGGAACAGAGCGUCAUAGAGGGUGAGAAUCCCGUCUUUGACACGGACUACCAGUGCUUUGUGAUGCGCUCUCAAAGAGUCGAGUUGUUUGGGAAUGCAGCUCAAAAUGGGUGGUGAAUUCCAUCUAAAGCUAAAUAUUGGCGAGAGACCGAUAGCGAACAAGUACCGUGAGGGAAAGAUGAAAAGCACUUUGGAAAGAGAGUUAAACAGUACGUGAAAUUGCUGAAAGGGAAACGCUUGAAGUCAGUCGCGUUGUCCGGAACUCAGCCUUGCUUUCGCUUGGUGCACUUUCCGGAUGACGGGUCAGCAUCGAUUUUGACCGUCGGAAAAGGGCUGGAGUAAUGUGGCACCUCCGGGUGUGUUAUAGACUCUGGUCGCAUACGACGGUUGGGAUCGAGGAACGCAGCGCGCCGCAAGGCAGGGGUUCGCCCACUUUCGCGCUUAGGAUGCUGGCAUAAUGGCUUUAAACGACCCGUCUUGAAACACGGACCAAGGAGUCUAACAUACCUGCGAGUGUUUGGGUGGAAAACCCGAGCGCGUAAUGAAAGUGAAAGUUGANAUCCCUGUCGUGGGGAGCAUNGNNGCCCGGNCCUGACGUUCUCUGACGGAUCCGCGGUAGAGCAUGUAUGUUGGGACCCGAAAGAUGGUGAACUAUGCCUGAAUAGGGUGAAGCCAGAGGAAACUCUGGUGGAGGCUCGUAGCGAUUCUGACGUGCAAAUCGAUCGUCAAAUUUGGGUAUAGGGGCGAAAGACUAAUCGAACC